Molecule: ribosomal RNA, 406 nt
Filed under: uncultured bacterium
Lineage: Bacteria
Description: partial 16S ribosomal RNA
Rfam family: Bacterial small subunit ribosomal RNA
Source: RNAcentral
AUUGAACGCUGGCGGCAGGCCUAACACAUGCAAGUCGAACGAGUGGCGGACGGGUGAGUAAUGUCUGGGAAACUGCCUGAUGGAGGGGGAUAACUACUGGAAACGGUAGCUAAUACCGCAUACUAUUGGAUGGGCCCAGAUGGGAUUAGUUAGUAGGUGGGGUAACGGCUCACCUAGGCGACGAGCCCUAGCUGGUCUGAGAGGAUGACCAGCCAAACUGGAACUGAGACACGGUCCAGAAUCCUACGGGAGGCAGCAGUGGGGAAUAUUGCACAAUGGGCGCAAGCCUGAUGCAGCCAUGCCGCGUGUAUGAAGAAGGCCUUCGGGUUGUAAAGUACUUUCAGCGGGGAGGCGUUACCCGCAGAAGAAGCACCGGCUAACUCCGUGCCAGCAGCCGCGGUAAUUC